ACCCAGCUUCCAGGAAAAGCCACUAAGCUUCAGCUACACACGACCGUACCGCAAACCGACACUGGUGCGCGAGAUGAGUAUUCUAAGGCGCUUGAGAGAACUCAGGAGAAGGAACUCGGCAAAUUGAUACCGUAACUUCGGGAGAAGGUAUGCCCCAAGUAGGUGAACUCGAACAGAGGGAGCCCAACGGGGUUGCAAAAAAUCGGUGGCUGCGACUGUUUAAUAAAAACACAGCACUCUGCAAACACGAAAGUGGACGUAUAGGGUGUGACGCCUGCCCGGUGCUGGAAGAUUAAAUGAUGGGGUGCAAGCUCUUGAUUGAAGUCCCAGUAAACGGCGGCCGUAACAAUAACGGUCCUAAGGUAGCGAAAUUCCUUGUCGGGUAAGUUCCGACCUGCACGAAUGGCGUAACGAUGGCCACACUGUCUCCUCCUGAGACUCAGCGAAGUUGAAAUGUUUGUGAUGAUGCAAUCUCCCCGCGGAAAGACGGAAAGACCCCAUGAACCUUUACUGUAGCUUUGUAUUGGACUUUGAACAGAUCUGUGUAGGAUAGGUGGGAGGCUUUGAAGUGAUGUCGCUAGAUGUCAUGGAGCCAACGUUGAAAUACCACCCUGGUGUGUUUGAGGUUCUAACCUAGGUCCAUUAUCUGGAUCGGGGACAGUGCAUGGUAGGCAGUUUGACUGGGGCGGUCUCCUCCCAAAGCGUAACGGAGGAGUUCGAAGGUACGCUAGUUACGGUCGGACAUCGUGACGAUAGUGCAAUGGCAUAAGCGUGCUUAACUGCGAGACUGACAAGUCGAGCAGAUGCGAAAGCAGGACAUAGUGAUCCGGUGGUUCUGUAUGGAAGGGCCAUCGCUCAACGGAUAAAAGGUACUCUGGGGAUAACAGGCUGAUACCGCCCAAGAGUUCAUAUCGACGGCGGUGUUUGGCACCUCGAUGUCGGCUCAUCUCAUCCUGGGGCUGUAGCCGGUCCCAAGGGUAUGGCUGUUCGCCAUUUAAAGAGGUACGUGAGCUGGGUUUAAAACGUCGUGAGACAGUUUGGUCCCUAUCUUCCGUGGGCGCUGCAGAUUUGAGGAAGCCUGCUCCUAGUACGAGAGGACCGGAGUGGACACACCUCUGGUGUAUCGGUUGUCACGCCAGUGGCAUUGCCGAGUAGCUAAGUGUGGAAGAGAUAACCGCUGAAAGCAUCUAAGCGGGAAACUCGUUUCAAGAUGAGAUCUGCCGGGGCCUUGAGCCCCCUGAAGAGUCGUUCAAGACCAGGACGUUGAUAGGUCAGGUGUGGAAGCG
Molecule: ribosomal RNA, 1286 nt
Filed under: metagenome
Description: bacterial LSU rRNA
Rfam family: Bacterial large subunit ribosomal RNA
Source: RNAcentral